RNAcentral lists this ribosomal RNA (205 nucleotides) under Acinetobacter baumannii. RNAcentral's name for it is "partial 16S ribosomal RNA". It matches the Rfam family "Bacterial small subunit ribosomal RNA", at positions 1 to 214 of the family's 1533-position model. The record is from RNAcentral. Lineage: Bacteria; Pseudomonadati; Pseudomonadota; Gammaproteobacteria; Moraxellales; Moraxellaceae.
UUUAACUGAAGAGUUUGAUCAUGGCUCAGAUUGAACGCUGGCGGCAGGCUUAACACAUGCAAGUCGAGCGGGGGAAGGUAGCUUGCUACCGGACCUAGCGGCGGACGGGUGAGUAAUGCUUAGGAAUCUGCCUAUUAGUGGGGGACAACAUCUCGAAAGGGAUGCUAAUACCGCAUACGUCCUACGGGAGAAAGCAGGGGAUCUU